RNAcentral lists this ribosomal RNA (253 nucleotides) under uncultured bacterium. RNAcentral's name for it is "partial 16S ribosomal RNA". It matches the Rfam family "Bacterial small subunit ribosomal RNA", at positions 524 to 776 of the family's 1533-position model. The record is from RNAcentral.
UACGGGGGGGGCAAGCGUUGUUCGGAAUUACUGGGCGUAAAGGGCUCGUAGGUGGCCAAGUAAGUCAGACGUGAAAUCCCCAGGCUCAACUUGGGAACUGCGUCUGAUACUGGAUGGCUUGAAUUCGGGAGAGGGAUGCAGAAUUCCAGGUGUAGCGGUGAAAUGCGUAGAUAUCUGGAGGAACACCGGUGGCGAAAGCGGCUCACUGGACCUGAUCUGACACUGAGGUGCGAAAGCUAGGGUAGCAAACGGG